GCGGAAUGAGAAGUAGCAAUUUGGAGGCAGCGAGAAACCCAUCCCUUAUCGAACCCUCCUCCGACCUUCGAUGCCCCUCCUAACGGAAGCCUGGAAGCUGCUGUCACAGGACUCCUCUCUAGCAUUCACCAGCACUGACCACAAAGCCCCAGAUCCACUCUUUCUGGAAGUCACAAUUCAUCAAACAUUUCUUGAGCCACUCCAUUAUGCAAGACCCUAGGCUGGGUUCUAGGAAGACAGAUUGAAGAAGGAUAGGGGAGAAACGUGGCCCCUGCACUCACAGAGCUUAUAGUCUGAAUUGGGUCUUGGAACAGAAGUUUCACACUGGAUCAAUGAUAGGAGACAAUUCGACAUCAAUUAUAUAUGUGCCACUCCUGAUGUCUGGAAGACCCACCUCUUGAUCAGAGCGAGGUCAGAGUCCUUCAGUUGGAGAAGCUUUGAAAGGAACAUCCUAAGAAGCAUAAAAGUGAAUCACGAGAGGAAGAGAAGUCUUUAUUUCUGGGAACUGGGAGUGAGAAGGAUGUUUGAACAGAGCUCCUGGGCUUGGAGGAGACUUGUGAAGGGAAAGCUGGCAACCUCUGCCUGGUGCCUUUUCCUUCUCUGCCUGCUUUUUGUUAUUUAAUAAAUAAUUAAAAAUUAAGCUACAGUCUCCAG
RNAcentral lists this long non-coding RNA (654 nucleotides) under Monodelphis domestica (gray short-tailed opossum). RNAcentral's name for it is "lncRNA (ENSMODG00000046938.1)". The record is from RNAcentral. Lineage: Eukaryota; Metazoa; Chordata; Mammalia; Didelphimorphia; Didelphidae.